Molecule: long non-coding RNA, 1216 nt
Organism: Biomphalaria glabrata
Lineage: Eukaryota; Metazoa; Mollusca; Gastropoda; Planorbidae
Exons: 3
Source: RefSeq, a predicted model, not a curated record
UGUUAGCUGAUUGUCUGUUUCCCCGUUUUAACGAUACGUAAGUACGUAGUUUUAUUUAUUAAGUAGGCUGAUAUUAAGGUAUGGGUGUCGUUAAUGAAAUGUUCUUUAUUGUAGCGGCAUCGCUAGAUCUAGGUUGUCUUUCGUUUCAGGGUGUUAGACUUGGGGCUAUGGGAAAGAGUGUCGCCUUUCCGCCCUUUGGAGCCGCAUCGUUAACUAUCGUUGUUGGAGGUGUAUAAAGUUGAUGUUCUGUAGGGCCUGCUCAUGGAUGUAAUGGAGUAAUAGAUUGGAAACAUCGUAGAUCUAAGAGGUGUCCAGCUUACACGCUGCAGGUCAUACACAUUUGAGGUGUCCAGCCUACAAACCGCAGGUCAAACAAGUUAGAGGUGUCCAGCCUACAGGCCGCAGGUCAUAUAAGCUAGAUGUGUUCAGGCCGCUGGCCAUAUCCGACCCAUAACGCAGAUAGAUUUUAAUUAAAUACUCACUAAAUUUACUUAAGAGCGCGUGGUGACUGAAUGGUAAAGCGCUUGGCUUACAAAUAGAGGAGUGAUAGGAGUGAAAAGAAAAAACAGGAACUUAGCUUUAGGGUUCAAGAAUUGGAAACUUAUUCAUUUUGUUUCUUUUAGUAUUGCACUGCAAGCGGGCUAGCUAAUGCGACUACUGUUUGAGUGAGACAUUACUUCUGACAUUUAUAUAUAGGCUAGAUAUCUACACCUAUAUUCCAGCCUUCAAAGAUUAUGACACAUAGUUGUGUAGACAGGGACAAGCAGGGCCGGUCUUAGGCCACUGCAACCUAUGCGGCCGCAGUAGGCCCCGCACUUUCAUAGGUCCCGCGCGAUGCGAAUUCUAGGUGUAAAUUAUUAAAUUAAACAAUUUUAACUUAUUAUUAAAGGGUUCCUGGAAUUCUCCUGAAAUUAUAAAAUAUAAGAAAAAAAGCAUGCGAAUCUUCUGAAAUUAUUAAAAUCUUCUGAAAACUGAUGCAAAUCUCCUUAAAACAGAAAAAUUUGUCAUUUUGGGAUAUCAUUCAAUAUGGAAAACGCCAAUCCUACAACUCGCGAUUUAAAAAAAAAACGGCAUUGUCAGCUUUCAUUUAAUAAAAAUGAAAUAAUAAGCCCAAUUUUAACCAAAACAAGAAGUUCAAAUACUUUAUUUACUUUAAUAGUAACUGGCAUACAAAUAUAGAUUUAAUACUAAAUUUAUCUCGACCUAUUAGAAAAAA